AGUAAAUGCCAAACUAUUUUCUUCCCAAAAUCCAAAACAAUAUUCAAAGCAAUAACUAAAACCCUUUUCUCUUCUCCCAUUGCAAGAUGAUGUGUCAGCAUGCUGAACUAAAGUAAGCAAAGAAAGUAAAUAAAAACUUGUUAGACGUGACCCUUAGCUACAGUCACAAAAUGCAUUCAUUCAUGAGCAAUGAUCGUGCCUCCCUUUGUAAUGUAUUGAAAAGCAAAAUUUUUAAGCAAAGCUGCAUAACGUCUCAAUCAACAAAGUCAAACAGAUUGGCACAAAGAAAAGAAAGUAAAGUGUACUCAUCAUCAUUUCAUGAAAACGUUACUGCGCAACUACAUUCUACAAACCAUAAAAUGUUCUAGGAAUAUUCCCAAGUGAAGAGUGGCGGCUCUGUCCUCCCUCCUCCCAAGGUAAGACUAUACCCUACUAAUGAGUAUGUUUUUCCUAGGGAGGGCCCUCAGCUGAUUCCUUUGCUGCCAGGUGGAUGAAAUUGGGCGUGUUGUUGGACGUUGCCCUCCAAAACUGGGUCCGUUGCUGCCUUCCAAUGUGCUGAAUGCACCUCCACUUUUCAUGUGUUGGCAUGGGCCAUGGUUGCUUCAUCAAGCAAACAUAAAUUGACCAAUUUGGACCGUGUGGAAGCAGCAUGAGUGGGUUGCAGCAGUGUGCUUCCAUGUGCACCUGCUAGGACUUCCAAAAUUAAUUGCCAUGGCCCCAUUGCCUUGCUAGAUGUCACCCCUUAAUGAAGCCCAAGUGAGGAACGUGUGUGUUUCAUUAAAAGAAUGAAAUAUGCUUUCAUUUCAAUUAAUCACCACACAUUCUCUAAAGAAAAUAAUUUGGAUGCAGCGUCUGGAAAAAUCACCCAUCUUUGCCUCAUUAGCCAACGUCACCAUUACACUCUUAGCAUUGGAGUUCUAGCCGUGCAUCCCACUUUAAUUUAAUCACAAAUGUGCCUCAAUUAACCUCCAAAUGUCUCCAAUAAUAUUUCCAAAUUAAUAAUCCAAAUAAUUAACUCAGAUAAUUCAAAUUAACUAAAAUAAGAAUUUCCGAUCAAAUUAAGCAUAAUUAGGAAAAACGGGAAAAUACCGGACAAUUAAGCACAAUUCCCUGAUUAAAUCUAGCACAAUAAACUAAGUGAAAUCAAUAAAAUAUCAACUCAUCAAAAUAGACCACACUUAGUCUUUUGCACUCUUGGGCAAAAUCAAGACGCAAAACAGGGAACAGUUCAACGGACAUCAGGGAAUUGACACAAACUCAACACACAGAAAACAAAGACUGACAAGGAAAGAAACAAAAUUACACAUUGCUCAAGAAAUCUGGACAGUGAAAGGGAGUAGACAGUAUCCACCACAGAAUAAGAGAAAACACAUACUCAUGAAGUCAUCCAAGCAAUUCCAAACAUGGCAAAAAUGAUCAAUCAGUUCAAGAGAGGAAUCAAAAGUAACAUGACCUCACAGAUGCACACUAUCAAUGUUUCUCUAAAGUGUCUAAGGUAAAUAAUGUCAACUCAAUGGACUCAAGAAAGCAAACACAAAUAGACUUGGCAAGCCUCUAAUAUCAACACUCAAACACAUAUGCAUGUUCAAAUCAAAAGGUCUUUUAUGGAUGUAAUGGGGCCAAGGAUAAGGGAGGAUAUUAUAUGGAUAAGAAGCUACAAAACAAAAGGAAUAGAGGAGUGUUAACGGAUUGGCAAGCGUACCAAAUCGUUCAAGUAAUAAUAAAAUGGUAAGUCCAAGUAUCAUUUUCCCAAGAGACUCGCGGCAUUAAACUGUUGUGUUUUUGCUUAACCAAUCAAGAUUAUAAAAAUAAUAUUUUGGGAUUUAAAAAGUGCAGAAAAAUAAUCAUGAAUGCAAUUUGAUUAAUUGAGGUUAAACACAAAAGUGGAUGAAUGAAUGGAGUUGUUCGGGGUUUACAAUUUCAUCUAAUCCGCUCUCUCUUACAUACUACCCUUGAAUAUUAGUUUGAUUAAUUCAAUUGUUAUGCGACUUUCUUAGCCUCCCCUUAACCCGAUCCCUCGGCGAAAAGGGCCUAAUAUUAACU
This 2043-nucleotide long non-coding RNA is filed under the name Vigna radiata. RNAcentral describes it as "long non-coding RNA (VRAD_LNC003641)". The record is from RNAcentral. Lineage: Eukaryota; Viridiplantae; Streptophyta; Magnoliopsida; Fabales; Fabaceae.